UGGCAUUUAACGGUAUCGGUGGCUUGGUGAACACGGCACCUUCGCGCACUUGUCACGUAGAAUAUAUUUUUGGCUCUUAUAUUUUAAGUUAUUUGUGUGUAUAUAACUAGUCUAUUAUUUAGAUCGGUGUAUUCUAUUACACUGCUUGUUAUCACAUCUUAUUAUGAAUAUUGUGUUGAUGCAAUCAAACACUAUGAUUAAAAUCAUGGAUCAGUCCAAACUUUCCAGACAAUAUGAGGAAAUGAUAUGUUAAACUGAGGUACAAGUAUUGAAUUAGAGUAGAUUUAUAUGAUAUUAUAGAUAGAUUACAUGAUGUUUAACGUUCAUACUUUUGUCAUUAGUUGAUAUCACCAGAGUUGGUGUUUCUAUGAACACUAUGUCUUAACAUUUAUGUCAUUGAAUCAUUAUUUCUGUUGUGCAUAUUAUUAUUUAGUCAUGUGGGAGCUUAAUAUAGAUAAAUAAAUGAGUAUAUUCUUCACAGCCGUCGUUUGAUUUUAUUUCUAACGCAUUUUGAGUGGCACAGAUGUCGAAAGUGAGAUCUGUCUGGGCGCUCCGUGUGGACAAACGUGUUUUCAACUUUUUCGGAUGCCCAAUAGUUUUCUCGUUUAAAUGACCCGCUGCGCUAGCAUGAACCCUUGCAUCGGACACCCAUCACACAUUGACGCUUGCUAGAACCAUUGGAUAUGCUCGCAAUGAUGAGUAUUCAUUGUUUUAUUUAUUAAUGUUUAACUACUUAAUAUUAAUAAUGUUGUUAUUGCCUUUAGAGUAAUUUAUAAACCACUCGCUGGUUGUUUGUGUUUGGCUGAGAUGUACCAAUAUUGUUUUUUAUUAUUAUUUUUAAAUUUAUGGUUUUUUAAAAUGAUUGUACCUUAUUUUUGAAUGGCAGUUAUUUUUGUGAUCAGUAUACUCUGUCUGCCAAACAUAUUUGUAUAGAGUGGUGUGCUCUAUACAGUUUAAACGAUGACAAUAAUAUUACAAUUCUCUUGGUAUAUGAAUAAUCCCAAGGCUCUAGACAUCUUAGGUCCGUCCUCUACUUAGAUUUUAGUAUAGCUCUUACUACUUAUCAAUACCCAUUGGAUUGUCUUAUAAUAGACAUUAUAUUCGACUUAUGAUAAUAAUCCUUGCUUCGCUACUGUCAGUAAAUAUUCCAAAUAUUCCAUGAAAAGGUACAAAAGUGAAGUCGUCGGUCGAUAGUAUUAUAUGUUACCAUAAUUGUUAUGUAAUUACGAGUUUAAGGUUUCUGUUUUGUAAUAUACACCUUGUACCUAUUUACAACUCUGCUCGGUACUUUUAGAAUCUAAUUGAAUUAUAGUGCAUUUUUCUGAACACAGUUUAGGUAGGUAUAAUUGUUCCAUUUUUAUUCUAGUAGCUACCAAAUUAAUGGAUGAUAUCUAAAAUAUAGAUCUGUUUGUCUUGCAACGUAAAAUAAUAAAUAAUGCCCUCGUGAGUGUCAAAAAUAAAAAUAAAUGUUAGAAAACCAAAUCAAAUUGCGCUGUGAGAAACUGUUUAUAAUGUGGGGAAUAAAAAAUAUUUGAGCUUCAGAAAUAAUGAUUUAAUGUAUAACCAUAGUUAGGAAAAGGCAUUUAUAUUUGCCAACAGCUUUAUAGUAUAAAAUACAUUAUUUUAUAGGUGCUUUUAAUUUAUAUUCCAUUUAAGCAAAAAUAAGCAUUAUAGCCCCAGUUUAUUCAUACAAAUAUUCUUAACUUGAAUUUACUAGAUCAAGUUUACAUUUACACUACUGUAAGAAGAAUAGUAUUUUGCUCAUUUAUAAAUUUACUGGCAAAAAUAUGUCUGAGUGAAUAGAAAAUAUAUUCUAUUUUAUUAAUAAAGUCUUCUAUAGUUUCAAAUGUUCGGUGGAAUGUUUUAUAAAGUAUUAAAAUUGUGGUUUCUGUAAGCAACAGACCACGUUGACGCAUUUUCGUCUUUUUACCAUAGAGGUUACAAAUAUUUGUAGACGAUUAAUAUUACUCCUGGUUCUAGCCAUUUAUGUCUUAUUAAAGUCUUGGAGCUUCCUAUUUUAACGUUUUGUGACUUUACGGUAUUUUCGAAAUAUUUAGAUUUUUUUUUAUUUCUUAUACAAUUUCAUCGAAAAUGCGCCAAAAUGGUGCGUUGUUGAGAUCCCAGUAGAUAUUUAUUACCAAUAGGUAAGUAAAAUUGUUUAUUUUUAUAUAUUUUAUUAAAGAUAUGUUCCAUAAUAUUAUGUUGUUAAAAUAUUGUUGUGAUUUUUAAAAAGUUUUCAUUAUAUUCUAAAUAUUUUUCGUAACUUUUUGUAUGAUUCAGUACUAUGUGAUUUGAGAAAAAUAACAGUGAUUUUGUUUUACCUAUACUAUAUUCGAAUAGUUAAUUUAAAAGAGUUAGUGUUUAGACGAGCAAUAUUUUUGUUACUACUUAGCCGUAAGUGUAAACAUGUAAGAUAAAUUAAUGUUAGAAAUAAAUAUCUAGUACUCAA
This is a long non-coding RNA of Spodoptera frugiperda (fall armyworm), 2449 nucleotides long. RefSeq lists it as uncharacterized. The transcript is spliced from 2 exons. The record is from RefSeq and is a predicted model, not a curated record. NCBI's taxonomy places the organism in Eukaryota, Metazoa, Arthropoda, Insecta, Lepidoptera, Noctuidae.